AAGUUGGUUAGCUCGAAUCUCGUAAGAUGUACCAUUACUCUAAAAACACCAAAGUAGAGAUAUAAGAUACCACAUUUUUCUCGCAUCUUUGACCUCUGAAUUUCCAUCUUUCAAGGAAAACAAUCUUAAAAGUGAGGAAAUUAUGUGUAGCUAAAGUAGGAUGUUUAGGUUGCUAAGGAAAGAAAGUAGUGGUUGUUAACCAUGUG
Molecule: long non-coding RNA, 206 nt
Filed under: Carica papaya (papaya)
Lineage: Eukaryota; Viridiplantae; Streptophyta; Magnoliopsida; Brassicales; Caricaceae
Description: long non-coding RNA (CPAP_LNC002296)
Source: RNAcentral